AGCAGUGUGGCACAGUGGUAAGGAGCAGGGCUCAUAACCAACAGGUUGCCGGUUCCAUUCCCUGCUACUGCCG
This 73-nucleotide transfer RNA is filed under the name Megalops atlanticus (tarpon). Its description in RNAcentral is "tRNA-OTHER". Lineage: Eukaryota; Metazoa; Chordata; Actinopteri; Elopiformes; Megalopidae. The record is from RNAcentral.